GGGCAGAUGAGGACACCUUAACUGGGUUGAAGAGAGGUGAUGACAUAAAAAGUAUGCUCAACAGGAUUAUGCUGAGGCCC
This 80-nucleotide small nucleolar RNA is filed under the name Chinchilla lanigera (long-tailed chinchilla). RNAcentral's name for it is "Small nucleolar RNA SNORD115 (ENSCLAG00000021389.1)". It matches the Rfam family "Small nucleolar RNA SNORD115". From Rfam's summary of the family: HBII-52 is a member of the C/D class of snoRNAs, which contain the C (UGAUGA) and D (CUGA) box motifs. HBII-52 is encoded in a tandemly repeated array with another C/D snoRNA, HBII-85, in the Prader-Willi syndrome (PWS) region of chromosome 15. Lineage: Eukaryota; Metazoa; Chordata; Mammalia; Rodentia; Chinchillidae. The record is from Rfam by way of RNAcentral.